CUAAAUUACAUAUAUAAUAAAUAAUAGUGAGUAAAAAUAAUAGAAGUUCUACAACAAGUCUAAAAAACACAUCCCAACUAGCAGAUAUCACCUAUACGGAUCUUUUUCUUCCAUUUUACCUUAUCUUUAGCGAAGCCUACAGCGAUUCCAAGGAUUUAUAGGUCAUUCGAUACAAUUUCCUUCUAUGUGAUUUUAGGUCUACCUCGUCCUUUUUUAAUACCUUCAUUCACCAUAGUUUCACACAUAGGGACCGGUGCAUCUGCAGAUCCACGCAAGACACGACUAAACCAUCUUAAGCGAAUAUGGUUAGUUCUAAUAUUGUCUAAUUUUGUAUGACCACACAUUUAUCAAGGCAUCCGCAUCUUUGCAACACUGAUUUUGUGGAUAUGUUGGACUUUAGUAGCCCAACAUUUACUGCCAUAUAACAUUGCUGGUCUUAUAACUGUUCUAUACGACUUACUUUCCAUUUUGGUA
Molecule: long non-coding RNA, 474 nt
Filed under: Nicotiana benthamiana
Lineage: Eukaryota; Viridiplantae; Streptophyta; Magnoliopsida; Solanales; Solanaceae
Description: long non-coding RNA (NBEN_LNC040322)
Source: RNAcentral